This 1918-nucleotide ribosomal RNA is filed under the name Comatricha pseudoalpina. RNAcentral's name for it is "SSU rRNA". It matches the Rfam family "Eukaryotic small subunit ribosomal RNA". Lineage: Eukaryota; Evosea; Eumycetozoa; Stemonitida; Stemonitidae. The record is from RNAcentral.
AACCUGGUUGAUCCUGCCAGUAGUGUAUGCUUUUCCUAAAGAUUAAGCCAUGCAUGUCUUCGAAUAUGAGGUAGCAAUUCUCUCUGAAUCUGCGAACGGCUCCGCAAACCAGUUGUAAGACACAGCAGUUCCGGGCCUAUCCCCUAGCUUCGCAGCCUGGGGGUAGCCCAUCUAUAUGGAUAACCCUGGUAAUUCUGAGGCUAAUACAUGACACAAACAAACUUCCGUCGCCAGGGCCCUCACGGGCCUAGGCGGUGGGAGGGCGUGCGAGUUAAGGCUUGGGUAAUCAGGACAGAACGCACGCACUGGACCGCCAUUAAGCGGGGUGGGGAUGGGCCUUCACGGGCCUGACCCUGCCCUGGCGGCUCCUGGGUAUCGCUUCUGACCUAUCAAUUAGACGGCAGCUUAUGGGACAUGCUAUGGUGGCAACGGGUACAGAGGAUAAGGGUUCGAUCCUGGAGAGUGGGCCUGAGAGAUUGCUCAUACUUCUAAGGAAGGCAGCAGGCGCGCAACGUUCCCCUUGGACAAUGUCCGAGGGCGUUAGGGGACAUAUGAAUGGCUGCCUUUACGGUGGCCAAUUCAAAUGGGUCUGUCGUAAACAGGCUCUCGAGUAACAAUUAGAGGACAAGUCUGGUGCCAGCACCCGCGGUAAUUCCAGCUCUAAUAGCAUACGUUAAAGUUGUUGCGGUUAAAACGCUCGUAGUCGGGACUAGGUCAUCAGAAGCCGGCGCCGGGAACCUGGGUCUGUGCCCUGCGAAGGGCGCGCCAGGCGACUGGCAAUGGUGGGCGGUGGCCAAGCGUGCCCAGUGGCGUGUGGCCCUUUCGGGUCGCUUACAGGGCUAAGCUCGACUCCGGUCGAGCGCGGCCUGGCUGCUGGGUACCUAUUGCCAUGAUUAAACUGGCGUGCUCAAAGCAGGUCGCAAGGCCUCUGCACAGCACAGCAUGGCAUAAGGAUAGCUGGCUCGUACCUCCAAGCGGGGCGCGGCCGGUGAAUACGCUGAAAGGGGUGUUCGAGGGUGACCGAAUUGCCGGGCGAGUGGUGAAAUACGUUGACCCUGGCAAGUCGACCAAAGGCGAAAGCAGUCAUCAAGGGCACGCCCGUUGAUCAAGAGCGAAAGUUAAGGGUUCGAAGACGAUCAGAUACCGUCGUAGUCUUAACUAUAAAUGAUACUGGCCUGGGAUAGGGCAAUGUCCAUCUCGACUCCCCCCGGAUCUUAGGAAACUAAAGCCUUUGAGUUCUGGGGGGAGUAUGGUCGCAAGGCUGAAACUUAAAGGAAUUGACGGAAGGGCACACAAAGAGUGGAACCUGCGGCUUAAUUUGACUCAACACGGGAAAACUCACCAGGUCAAGAUACACGCAUGAAAGCCAAGCUGAUAGCCUUUGCUCAAUGAUGUAAGUGGUGGUGCAUGGUCGUUCUUAGUUCGUGGAGUGGUUUGUCUGGUCUAUUCCGAUAACGAGCGAGACCCCAACGUUCUAACUAGGGGCGGCAGCCCGGCUUGGUGCCCCCUUCACGGGGGGUGCCUCGCUAGCAGCCGCCUUGCGUAGCAAUCUUCUUAGACGAAUCUGGGCCGACAAGGUCUUUGAGAUGGGUUAAUAACAGGUCAGUCAUGCCCUUACAUGUUCUGGGCCGCACGCGCGUUACAAUGGUAGGCAAAGCAAGUGUUCAUUAUCGAGUCUUCCCACGGUCUACAGGGCGUGGCAAACCCUAAGGCCUCCCUCGACUGGGCUAGACUAUUGCAAUUAUUGAUCUUUAACGAGGAAUUUUUAGUAGUCGUGGGUCAUUACCCCGCGGCGAAUGCGUCCCUGCCCUUUGUACACACCGCCCGUCGCUGCUACCGAUUGGGUUUUGCGGUUACGCGUUCGGAGACUGGGGCAACUGCCGCCUUUCAAGGCGGUGGAAACCUGGUCAAAGUUCGA